UCUCUAGAAGACAUCUGAAAGAGAUUAAAGAUUUAUCGGUGAUGGAUGGGGAUGCGUCUGAUUAGCUUGUUGGCGGGGUAACGGCCCACCAAGGUCAACGAUCAGUAGGGGUUCUGAGAGGAAGGUCCCCCACAUUGGAACUGAGACACGGUCCAAACUCCUACGGGAGGCAGCAGUGAGGAAUAUUGGUCAAUGGACGAGAGUCUGAACCAGCCAAGUAGCGUGCAGGAAGACGGCCCUAUGGGUUGUAAACUGCUUUUAUAAGGGAAUAAAGUGAGUCUCGUGAGACUUUUUGCAUGUACCUUAUGAAUAAGGACCGGCUAAUUCCGUGCCAGCAGCCGCGGUAAUACGGAAGGUCCGGGCGUUAUCCGGAUUUAUUGGGUUUAAAGGGAGCGUAGGCCGGAGAUUAAGCGUGUUGUGAAAUGUAGAUGCUCAACAUCUGCACUGCAGCGCGAACUGGUUUCCUUGAGUACGCACAAAGUGGGCGGAAUUCGUGGUGUAGCGGUGAAAUGCUUAGAUAUCACGAAGAACUCCGAUUGCGAAGGCAGCUCACUGGAGCGCAACUGACGCUGAAGCUCGAAAGUGCGGGUAUCGAACAGGAUUAGAUACCCUGGUAGUCCGCACGGUAAACGAUGGAUGCCCGCUGUUGGUCUGAAUAGGUCAGCGGCCAAGCGAAAGCAUUAAGCAUCCCACCUGGGGAGUA
This 703-nucleotide ribosomal RNA is filed under the name uncultured bacterium. RNAcentral describes it as "bacterial SSU rRNA". It matches the Rfam family "Bacterial small subunit ribosomal RNA", at positions 179 to 882 of the family's 1533-position model. The record is from RNAcentral.